Molecule: long non-coding RNA, 1224 nt
Organism: Poecilia latipinna (sailfin molly)
Lineage: Eukaryota; Metazoa; Chordata; Actinopteri; Cyprinodontiformes; Poeciliidae
Exons: 3
Source: RefSeq, a predicted model, not a curated record
CAAACUGUCUCUGUAAAUAUGUUUUGGCCAACAUUCUUGGUUCUCUUUAUUUUGCUAUUGUUUGAAGAUGUUAAUGGUUUUAUUGUAACUUUUAAUAAGGGUAAAAAAAAAUAAAUGUUCAAUCCCCUCUCUCUGAGUUCUGCCUUGUGUUUUAACCCUCUAAACACACACAUACACUGGUUAGAAAAGGUUGCAAAAAGCUUUGCAGGAUAUAGAGAUAUUCUGGAGUAUGUUGCACAAUACAGUCUAAAGAUGAAUCUCAUGAGUGAAUAGAAGCACAAAAAAGUGCUAAUUCAACAAAAUUUAUACUCAUAAGAUGAUACAUUUCAAGUGUAGGCAAGACUGCUGACUUGACGCUUUUCUAACACCCUGGAAGAAGAGGGUAAGCCACAAAAAGACAUUGUUGAAGAAGACGGUUGUUCAGAGCGUGGUCUAAAAGCAUAUUGAUGGAAAGUUGUGUGGAAGAGAAAAGUGGUAUAAAAUAAUCUAAAGCGAUAAUAGCAGCCUCUCCAGGACUCCCUCUCAAUCUUUAAGAGGAUUGUGAGGUAAAGCCCAUUCAUAAGUUUGAGCGAUGGGUUCAAAAUGCGUGGACCAGAAGUCUCCAAGAGCGCUAUCACACAGACCUGUACUCUCAGAUUACUUGUGCGAAGCCAUUUCUGAACCAGAGAGAAUAACAAAUGUUUUACUGGAGCCAAGGAGAAAAUUGGGAGGGCAGUGUUGCUCUGUGGCCCACUGUCCCAGUUUCCAGAUGAAUGUAGUUUUUCCAUUAUUUUUGCAAAACAGACUUUCAGAGGAUGGAGAUAAAGUGGAGACGUACACAGUCCAAGUUGCUUGAGGUUGUGAAGUUUCCAGAGUCAUAUUAGUUUGAGGAACCACGCCAUCUGCUUGUUUUCCUUUGUGGUUUAUGAGGACCUUACAGCACCACAUCCUUGUCUCUCUGACGUAACCGUGUGUCUUGGAGGCUGCAUAGACUGUCAAAAUAUCAACACUUGGUUUAAUGACCACGGCAUUAGUGAGGGGCCAGAAAAGUCUCCUGGCCUUGAAACCACAGAGAAUCUAUGGAACAUUGUCAAGAGGAAGAUGAGACACAAGAUCCAGCAACGCAGAUGAAGGCUGCAAAGAAACGGGUUUCCUUAAUGCAUCAGUCAGAGGUGGACCAACUCUUUCCCAAGAUGCAUUAAUACAGUAAUUCAUGUUAAAGGAGAGCUCAAUCAAGUAUUUAGA